RNAcentral lists this ribosomal RNA (258 nucleotides) under uncultured bacterium. RNAcentral describes it as "partial 16S ribosomal RNA". The record is from RNAcentral.
AAGUAUUGGGUGGGUUUUAAAUCCACGCAACGGAGCCGCCAACACCCCAUUUGUCUUAUUUAGGUUUCCUAGCAUUUUAGAAGUUGGCCCACUCUUAAGUGAGAUCUGCCCGGGUGACAACCCGGAGGAAGCUGGGGAUGACUGUCAAAUCAUCAUGCCCCUUAUGACUCUGGGUCUACACACCGUGCUNACAAUGGGCGCUAGUACAAAGGGAAGCGAAAUCCUGCUCGAAGCUCCAGAGGCCGAUCUCUGAAACAU